RNAcentral lists this small RNA (596 nucleotides) under Histoplasma capsulatum var. duboisii H88. RNAcentral describes it as "Histoplasma capsulatum H88 hypothetical RNA". The record is from RNAcentral. Lineage: Eukaryota; Fungi; Ascomycota; Eurotiomycetes; Onygenales; Ajellomycetaceae.
AACACGGUUGCCCUUACUGUCAACUCCAAUUUUAUUCCGACGUAUCAAGUUCAGGUUGUUUUUCCAGGGCUUCAACCUGUUGAGCAAACUGUGGACUAUUUCGUUUCCUCAUUGUACCGGUUGCUCGCCUCAUUGCGACCCGAUCUCAUAUCUUAGCCCAACGGGCCGCGCCACUUAAUUAAUUCCUGCAUGAACGCUACUCUGUUUUGGAUGGUGCCCCGGUUGAGGCCCACGAUGAGCCUUAAUCUAAAAUCAACCCAACACAAGUCAGCCAUUCAAAAUCGAAACCUACAGAGAGUUACGUUUCUCAGUGAGUUACCACCCGCUCGGUGAAGAGUUUGGUACUCUCAACUUCCCGGCCUUACAACUUUUGGAACUUGGUUUGCCUCUCCACCAUAUCUCCAGCUGGUAAGCACGCCAAACUGUGAAGCAAUGAUACCUAGAUCCACGAAAGAUAAGCCGAGAUAAUCUCUCUGCUGUUAUAAGUAGUAUUCAUUCACCCUUAUACCUUUGGAUCCAUCCUUUGGAGUAUCAACUCACUCCAAAUAUCAAGUCCAACUCUAGAAUUUCCCAGAUGGAAAUAAUCAGAGGAGCCC